RNAcentral lists this ribosomal RNA (473 nucleotides) under uncultured delta proteobacterium. Its description in RNAcentral is "bacterial SSU rRNA". It matches the Rfam family "Bacterial small subunit ribosomal RNA", at positions 400 to 863 of the family's 1533-position model. Lineage: Bacteria; Deltaproteobacteria. The record is from RNAcentral.
CGUGAGUGAAGAAGGCUUUCGGGUCGUAAAGCUCUGUCAAGUGGGAAGAAUCUGUCCUAUGUUAAUACCAUGGGGCACUGACGGUACCAUUGAAGGAAGCACCGGCUAACUCCGUGCCAGCAGCCGCGGUAAUACGGAGGGUGCAAGCGUUAUUCGGAAUUACUGGGCGUAGAGGGCGCGUAGGCGGCUUUUUAAGUCGGGCGUGAAAGCCCGGGGCUAAACCCCGGAAGGGCGUUCGAAACUAAAAGGCUUGAGUACGGGAGAGGGAAGUGGAAUUCCUGGUGUAGAGGUGAAAUUCGUAGAUAUCAGGAGGAACACCGGUGGCGAAGGCGACUUCCUGGACCGAUACUGACGCUGAGGCGCGAAAGCGUGGGGAGCAAACAGGAUUAGAGACCCUGGUAGUCCACGCUGUAAACGAUGAACACUAGGUGUAGCGGGUAUUGACUCCUGCUGUGCCGCAGCUAACGCAUUAA